This 253-nucleotide non-coding RNA is filed under the name Bacillus sp. (in: firmicutes). Its description in RNAcentral is "Bacillus sp. T-box sequence". It matches the Rfam family "T-box leader". Rfam says of the family: Uncharged tRNA acts as the effector for transcription antitermination of genes in the T-box leader family. T-boxes are found upstream of many aminoacyl-tRNA synthetase genes and some amino acid biosynthetic genes usually in Gram-positive bacteria. The anticodon of a specific tRNA base pairs to a specifier sequence within the T-box motif, and the NCCA acceptor tail of the tRNA base pairs to a conserved bulge in the T-box antiterminator hairpin. The record is from RNAcentral. Lineage: Bacteria; Bacillati; Bacillota; Bacilli; Caryophanales; Bacillaceae.
AGAAAGGCCUUGAAGGAGACUAGUAAAUAUAACCCUGCCAUUUAGGGAAGGAAUGUCUUAGACUGAAAACAUUCCUAUGGUAAGAGAUAUUGAAUUCACUCUGGAGCUGACGCUGUAAAUAUAAGAAUGUACAUACAAAUGUAACUAUUUCUUAUGGUAAAGUGUUACGGUAAAUACCGUUAUGAUAAAGAAGUGUAUAAGGUGAGUGAUCGCCUUAUAAAUAAGGGUGGUACCGCGAGCCAUCGUCCCUUUU